CCAGACUCCUACGGGAGGCAGCAGUGGGGAAUAUUGCACAAUGGGGGAAACCCUGAUGCAGCGACGCCGCGUGAGUGAAGAAGCGUUUCGGCGCGUAAAGCUCUUUUAGCGGGGAAGAAACACGGUUCGCGAGAGCCGCGGACGGUACCCGACCAAGAAGCCCCGGCUAACUACGUGCCAGCAGCCGCGGUAAUACGUAGGGGGCAAGCGUUAUCCGGAUUUACUGGGUGUAAAGGGAGUGUAGGUGGCAUAACAAGUCAGAAGUGAAAGCCCGGGGCUCAACCGCGGGACUGCUUUUGAAACUGUUAAGCUUGAGUGCAGGAGAGGUAAGCGGAAUUCCUAGUGUAGCGGUGAAAUGCGUAGAAAUUAGGAGGAACACCAGUGGCGAAGGCGGCUUACUGGACAGUAACUGACACUGAGGCUCGAAAGCGUGGGGAGCAAACAGGAAUAGAUACCCCGGUACAC
This 465-nucleotide ribosomal RNA is filed under the name uncultured bacterium. Its description in RNAcentral is "bacterial SSU rRNA". It matches the Rfam family "Bacterial small subunit ribosomal RNA", at positions 331 to 795 of the family's 1533-position model. The record is from RNAcentral.